ACUGCCUUAGCUACAUUCCUUCUACUGCGAAAAGGAAUAAAAUUGGUUUCAAACGAAUGUAUGAAAACUAUUUUGCAAUAUCUACAUACACACACAGCACAGUACAGUACAUUACACUUAUGGAUGACAUUUUUUAUAACAAAAAAAAAAACAACUACAUUUAUUAUAAUGAUUUAUCUACCACAGCAUUGGAGACUUUGGUCCCAAGGGCGAUUAUUUGGCAAUAACUGGAAAUAGCUUUCAGUUGAAAAUUCAACAUUUUAAACCUAUUCAACUCCUUAUUCGUCUGAACAUAAUAUAUUUAGG
Molecule: long non-coding RNA, 306 nt
Filed under: Drosophila guanche
Lineage: Eukaryota; Metazoa; Arthropoda; Insecta; Diptera; Drosophilidae
Source: RNAcentral